ACUUAAAUUGAAGAGUUUGAUCAUGGCUCAGAUUGAACGCUGGCGGCAGGCCUAACACAUGCAAGUCGAAC
This 71-nucleotide ribosomal RNA is filed under the name Enterobacter sp. 50588862. RNAcentral describes it as "partial 16S ribosomal RNA". It matches the Rfam family "Bacterial small subunit ribosomal RNA", at positions 1 to 67 of the family's 1533-position model. The record is from RNAcentral. Lineage: Bacteria; Pseudomonadati; Pseudomonadota; Gammaproteobacteria; Enterobacterales; Enterobacteriaceae.